UACAGAGGUGGCAAGCGGUGUUCGGAAUUACUGGGCGUAAAGGGCGCGUAGGCGGUCUUGUCAGUCCCUUGUGAAAUCCCCCGGCUCAACUGGGGAACUGCACGGGAAACAGCAGGGCUUGAGUUCGGGAGAGGGAAGCGGAAUUCCGGGUGUAGCGGUGAAAUGCGUAGAUAUCCGGAGGAACACCGGUGGCGAAGGCGGCUUCCUGGACCGAUACUGACGCUGAGGCGCGAAAGCUAGGGGAGCAAACGGG
RNAcentral lists this ribosomal RNA (253 nucleotides) under uncultured bacterium. Its description in RNAcentral is "partial 16S ribosomal RNA". It matches the Rfam family "Bacterial small subunit ribosomal RNA", at positions 524 to 776 of the family's 1533-position model. The record is from RNAcentral.